Molecule: long non-coding RNA, 1559 nt
Organism: Globicephala melas (long-finned pilot whale)
Lineage: Eukaryota; Metazoa; Chordata; Mammalia; Artiodactyla; Delphinidae
Source: RefSeq, a predicted model, not a curated record
CCAUGUGGAUAGGGAUUUUGUGUAUCUUGUUCACUGCUGUAUACCCAGACUUAGGCCUAGAGUGGAAAACAAGACAGAUAAAGUCCCUGUACUCAUGAAGCUUCAAUAAAGAAGAAAGAAUCUCAGAGAUGCUAAGAAGUGUUUGCCAUCCAGGUGUGGGCGUUAACUAAUUCUCACCAAUGAAAUGUGAGCAGAAGUAGUGUGUGCCACUUCCAAGGCAAGAUUUUAAAGAAGCCUCUCACUGUUGUGGCCUCUCCCGUUGCAGAGCACAGGCUCCGUACGCGCAGGCUCAGCGGCCAUGACUCACGAGCCCAACUGCUCCGCGGCAUGUGGGAUCUUCCCGGACCGGGGCACGCCUCCUUCUCUGCAAUCCUUCUUUGAUUAUGUGGACUACCUUAAGUAAAUAUCCUUUCUAGACUAGUAGAACUUGACUUUUGGUUGGCUGUACACUAAGGACUCCAGCUGAUACAUAAUUAUGUUCUCCUUAGAAGUUUUGAUAGCACCUUCAUAUUUUCUUACUGUUUUCUUUGUUUGUCUUUUGUUUGGGAUGCUUCCCGACCAGGGAUCAAACCCACGCCCCCUACAGUGGAAGCACAGAUUCUUAACCACUGGACCACCAGGGAAGUCCCUUACUUUCUCAACAUUACAAUGCUGUGAUGUCUAGAUAAAGCAUAUAUUAUUAUUAUAUUAUACAGAUGCCAAAACUGAAUCACAACACAAUUAAAUGUUUUAUCCAAGGCUGCAAAGUUAAAAACGGCAAAUACAUCACUUUAAUCGUGGUUCUUAUUUUAAGAAACAAUUUCCACUAUGCCAACUUUCUAAUAUCAAGUUUGGGAAGUAUAUAGUGAGACAAAAACACGACAUCCAUGUAUGCUUAAGGCUGUGAAAAUGUUUAUAAGAAAAUACCUAAACACAAGCUCCCUGCACUCACUUGUGGUUUUCUCUGCCACCCAUCCAAAAACACAUGUUCACCAUGUUUUCCUUUCCCUCUGUCAUCAUGACAAACAAUGUUCCAGAUAGUGGCUACUCUCUCAAUCUGAGUCCUGGAGUGGAUGAUAGCCAGUGUCAGGCUGUAACUGAUGUGCUCUAGCACACUGCUUUAGGAUGUAAGGGGAACAUGGCAUAUGCUACAUAGUUCUGCACUGCUGGGCCUCUUGAAAACACUAGGGGUUCUUGUAGGCUUUACUAAAGCUCCAAGAUAGGAAUUUCUGUUUUAACAUCCCAUUUAUACUGUUUUCUUUUUCAUUUUUUUUUCUUACGGGUAUAUAGUUGCUUUACAAUGUUGUCUUAGUUUCAGGUGUAUGGCAAAGUGAGUUAUACAUAUAUAAAUACAUAUCCACUCUUUUUUGGAUCCUUUUCCCAUAUAGGCUCAUUACAAAGUACUGAGUAGAGUUCCCUGUGCUAUACAGUAGGUCCUUAUUAGUUAUCUAUUUUAUAUAUAGUAGUGUGUAUAUGUCAAUCCAAUCUCCCAAUUAAUCACUCCCUCGCCUUACCCCCUAGUAACCAUAGUGUGUUUUUAUAUCUGUAACUAUUUCUGUUUUGUAGAUAAGUUCAUUUGU